Molecule: ribosomal RNA, 254 nt
Filed under: uncultured bacterium
Lineage: Bacteria
Description: partial 16S ribosomal RNA
Rfam family: Bacterial small subunit ribosomal RNA
Source: RNAcentral
UACGUAGGGGGCGAGCGUUGUCCGGAUUUAUUGGGCGUAAAAGGCUUGUAGGUGGCCACGUCAAGUCGGAUGUGAAAUCUCCCGGCUCAACUGGGAGGGGUCAUUCGAUACUGGCGGGCUCGAGGCCGGUAGGGGGAAGCGGAAUUCCCGGUGUAGUGGUGGAAUGCGUAGAUAUCAGGAGGAACACCCGUAGCGAAGGCGGCACUCUGGGCCGAUACUGACACUGAGGAGCGAAAGCGUGGGGAGCGAACAGG